UACGUAGGGACCAAGCGUUGUUCGGAUUUACUGGGCGUAAAGCGCGUGUAGGCUGCUCGGAAAGUCGGAUGUGAAAGCCCUGGGCUCAACCUAGGAAGUGCAUUCGAAACUUCUGAGCUGGAGUGCUGGAGAGGAAGGCGGAAUUCUCGGUGUAGAGGUGAAAUUCGUAGAUAUCGAGAGGAACACCGGUGGCGAAGGCGGCCUUCUGGACAGCAACUGACGCUGAGACGCGAAAGCGUGGGGAGCAAACAGG
This 253-nucleotide ribosomal RNA is filed under the name uncultured bacterium. RNAcentral's name for it is "partial 16S ribosomal RNA". It matches the Rfam family "Bacterial small subunit ribosomal RNA", at positions 524 to 776 of the family's 1533-position model. The record is from RNAcentral.